AACGAACGUUAGCGGCGCGCUUAACACAUGCAAGUCGAACGAGAAAGGGCUUCGGCCCCGGUACAGUGGCGCACGGGUGAGUAACACGUGGGUAAUCUACCCCCGAGCGGGGGAUAACGUUCCGAAAGGAGCGCUAAUACCGCAUAAGACCACGCUCUCGAAAGGGAGCGAGGUAAAAGUAGGCCUCUGAAUUCACGCUUACACUCGAGGAUGAGCCCGCGGCCCAUCAUGGUAGUUGGUAGGGUAAUGGCCUACCAAGCCGAAGACGGGUAGCUGGUCUUAGAGGAUGAUCAGCCACACUGGAACUGAGACACGGUCCAGACUCCUACGGGAGGCAGCAGUGGGGAAUCUUGCGCAAUGGGCGAAAGCCUGACGCAGCGACGCCGCGUGGGUGAUGAAGGCC
Molecule: ribosomal RNA, 403 nt
Filed under: uncultured bacterium
Lineage: Bacteria
Description: bacterial SSU rRNA
Rfam family: Bacterial small subunit ribosomal RNA
Source: RNAcentral